UGACCAAGCUAGGGUUCUCAUCAAGUUCAAAAAAAAAAACUAGGGUUCUCAUCCGUCGCCGCCAUCUGACCCCUCCUCCUCCCGCGGUGCUGCUCCCCGGCGACGUCGUCUGACCAGCCGCGGCCUCCGCAGGCCUCAUCUUCUCACGAAUCUGCAAAGGUCGUUGCCAUCGGUUCCCACCGACGCCUUGCUGUAGCCUCCCCGAUGCUCUCUUUGCACCGCCGCAUGUGCCUGUGCAUAUUCCGCAGACUCCCCCUCCUACAAGAGAUCUCCGCCACCGUCCCGAUUGGAUCACGCUGCCGCCAACCAGUGGUUCAGCAGGGAACGCUGCCGCCCGAUUGGAUCUUGGACGCCCUGCAAGAGCUCAAGCCGCCGCUCGGCUGCACGCAUCUGCCCUGCAGGUCUCCGGCUGGACCAGGCCACGACCCCCACUAGCCUCCCAUGCCCAACAGUCAGUCGGCUCCUCUGCUCGCUCCGGUUCACUGGCCGCUGCAAGUCAACGCCCAGCUGCAUCUUUGAUUGAAUCAAGCCUAUAUGGAUCAUCUAAGAAGAUCCAUGGUCGUGUGACCACUCAACUCGUAGACCUUCGCACGGCCGGUAGGCCGGCCGGUAUGUGACAUGAUCUCUUCAUUUCUUCUUACAUUGUCUUCUUUUGUUGAUCAACUGCAAGGAAGAGCUGACGAUAACAUUGAGACUGUCAGGAGAAGAUUCAGAGUUAAAAAAUAAUCAGAGUUUUUGAAGAAUCAAGUUUGCCUGUAGUUCAGUCCGAUGACUCUAAGUCUAAGGGCAAGGUUAAGAUGGUGUAUCCAUUUUUAUAUAAAAGGAUAUGGCACGCUUCUUCCAAAGAGCUUAUUCUUCACAGCGUCACAUAAAUACUUGUGAUUUAAGAUAGUCACACGUCACCAGAAAACGAUUCAGUAUUAAUCCAGCUGCAUAUAGUUGAGUACUAUGAUUCAAAAGGCUAGGUUGAGAAGGGGUAUGAUUUUGAGUGCAAAAGCAUACUAUUCUGUAGAACAGUUCAUUUUUAACAGCCUAAUGUAUCGAUUUCUCAUAAAUUAUAAGAGCUACGCUGUAGAAUUUUUUAGUAUGUCUAGCAAAUGCUCUUGUUGUUCAGGGUCUAAUUGGGUGCAGGUGAUGCCUGGAAUUGAACAUACAAAGGAUGAAGGGGGUGCUAGGCAGGCUCGCGCCGUCCACGUGUCGCUAUGAAUAGUGCCGGCGAAGCAAGCGUUGCGUCCCGCGCGCGCCGCGAGCAGAGAAGCGACCGAGAGAGAAAAGAGAGCGGUUCUCAAAAAAAGAGAGAGAAAAGAGAGCGAGCGAGCAGCUGUAGCGAGAGACAAAAGUAGCGAUGCCAGUGACCUAAACCGCAUCUCCCCUUCUCCAGAGAGAGAGAAGAUGAGAGGGAGAAGAAGUAAGGAAGGGAGGGUGAAAGAGAGGAAAGAGGAGAGGGAGGUGCGGCUCCGCCGCCGCCUUCUCUCCCUGCCUCUUCCGCGGUGGUCGAGGUGCAGCAGCGUGGGCGCCGCCAGGUUCUCGAUCCAGUCGGAUCUGGCGCCGGUCGCCGUCCCCGUCGCCUCGUCUUCUUUCUUUCCAACCCACCGCCUCCGAGCUUCUGCUCCUGCUACGUCUCCUUCUCCCUUCCCGCCGCGGGAGCAGUCAUCGCUGCGCCCUCGCCCCCGCACGCCGUCCUUCCGCGCGCCUCACCAGCCACCACCAGCAGCAGCGUAGGGAGCCAAUGGGAAGGGGGUCCAAGGCCAAAUCCUGCUUCAGCGGAGGCCAUGACUGAGGCGGAGGGGGAGCUCCCCAAAGCCAUCGUGGAUCGUGCUGUGGCGGCGUGGAGCAGGGGAGGAUUUGGGCGAUGGGCAUGAGGGAAGGAGCAGCGAGGUCAGAGUUCCAGGCGGUGCCGGCCGUCGUCACAUGUCCCCAGUCUAGAUCUGAGAAAAAAAAGAGAAGUGGGUGAAUCUUGAGGAAGAGCUUGGUGAAGAACAAGGUGUUCCUAAUGGCAAAGGUGGUAAUCAACGAUGAGAAAAAAAGGGACCGAGAUUGGAUUUCUGCUAGGUAUGUUCCUCAUCUCUCUCAGCUCUUGUUCCAAUCCCCACCCUGAUGUAACUGCUUCUUCACAACUGUUUGAUGUGUCUUAGGAGAUGAAUGCCAUGGAUUGGCAAGAUUCUUGCUAAGCUGACAACUAAUUAAACUAUUUGUCCCAUUGUUAAAGCUAAUCAUAGUCAUAUGUGGUGAUCGUCCGACUGCUGCGUAUGGUGGCAACCGAAUUCUUGAUGAUGAACCGAAUCAAAUACGUAGUAAAGUCAGCGCUAAAUCACAAGUAUAUAUUCAGGUUCAGUACACUCAAGCUGUCGAGGAGGUUACUCAGACCUGUAGAUUUUGUAUGACAAGAAAAUUACUUGAAAGAAAUAGGUACAGCCACUGUGAUAAAUAUCAGUAGUAAGCAUUGUAUAUGUAUGCAGUAGUAUAGUAAGACAAGAAAAAUACUUGAAAGAAAUAGGUGCAGACACUGUGAUAAAUAUCAGUAGCAUGCACUAUAUAUGUAUGCAGAACAGACCAUAAUCAUGAUUUUGCAUUGCUUGGACCAAGAUUUGUAUGCACCGAUCACCGAUUCUGUCUUUAGGGGUUACAGGAAAAUGACAUAUAUCAGCCAGUGCAACCACUAAUAGUGCAAUUGUGUAUUUACAGAAAGGAAGCAGGUCAACCAUGCAGUAUUAGAGUAAGAUACUACAUGUAAAAGUACCAUCUAAAAAUGACAGAUACAUUACUUCGUGAGAAAUCUCGGUAGGAAAGUAGUGACUCUUUUUGUCAAUGGAUUGUGUACAGUGAACUGGAUUAUGCAAUGAUCGGUUGAUUCAGAGCUCUUGUAUCUUGAGUGGCAUUCACCUUUGGGCAAUUCAGGCGACCACAGGGCGAGACUACCAGCUGGUGAAGGAGAGGAUAUGUAUUCGGCGUGUCCUGAAGAGGUAGUCCACGAACCGGCAAUGGAGGAAAUAAGGUAGAGACGACAAUAGCAGCAAGUACGUCAAGUGCUAGGGAUGUGGAUAUGGUGUGGCAUAAAGAGGUAGUCCACAAACCUCUGCUAGGCUGAUCUUCUUGCUCAGUAUAAGCCAACAAUGGAGAAACUGACCAGGCUAUCUUUCAUGAUCAGUUACACACCAAGCCUAUAUUUUUGCUGCUUCUACAUGUCGUUGUGAUGGUCAUUCGGCCCAUUUUCUUGAAUCUGCACUACAACGAGAGAUCUUGGCUGCUUCUUUGUGGCUUCCAAACUUGAAAUGUUUGUUUGGAAGUUAGUUUAGUUUUUUGUUGUAGAUUCAUAGCUUCUCACAUGUACCGUCCUCUUAGACCUUCAGAUUUCCAAAGAAACUAAAUGAAGAUAUGGUGGUAUGGUCUCAA
Long non-coding RNA from Triticum dicoccoides, 3393 nucleotides. RefSeq lists it as uncharacterized. The record is from RefSeq and is a predicted model, not a curated record. The transcript is spliced from 5 exons. NCBI's taxonomy places the organism in Eukaryota, Viridiplantae, Streptophyta, Magnoliopsida, Poales, Poaceae.